UACAGAGGUCCCAAGCGUUGUUCGGAUUUACUGGGCGUAAAGGGUGCGUAGGCGGUCAAAAAAGUCUGAUGUGAAAUCUCGGAGCCUAACUCCGAAACUGCAUUGGAAACUGUUUGACUUGAGGAGUGGAGGGGAGACUGGAAUUCUCGGUGUAGCAGUGAAAUGCGUAGAUAUCGAGAGGAACACCAGUGGCGAAGGCGAGUCUCUAGACAUUUCCUGACGCUGGGGAACGAAAGCCAGGGGAGCAAACGGGAUUAGAUACCCGGGUGGUUUUGGCUGUAAACGGUGGGCAUUUGUGGUGGGGGGAUCCGACCCCGCCAGUGGCGAAGCUAACGCGAUAAAUGCGCCGCCUGGGGAGUACGGUCGCAAGAUUA
This 374-nucleotide ribosomal RNA is filed under the name uncultured prokaryote. RNAcentral's name for it is "bacterial SSU rRNA". It matches the Rfam family "Bacterial small subunit ribosomal RNA", at positions 524 to 896 of the family's 1533-position model. The record is from RNAcentral.